GACGAACGCUGGCGGCGUGCUUAACACAUGCAAGUCGAACGGAAAGGCACUGCUUUUGUGGGGUGCUCGAGUGGCGAACGGGUGCGUAACAGGUGUGUAACCUGCCCUUGUUUUUGGGAUAACUUCAGGAAACUGGGGCUAAUACCGUAUAGGAGCCCCUGUUCCAUGGUGGGGGUUGGAAAUUUUCGGCGGUUGGGGAUGGAUUCGCGGCUUAUCAGCUUGUUGGUGGGGUAGUGGCUUACCAAGGCUUUGACGGGUCGCCGGCAUGAGAGGGUGGCCGGCCACAUUGGGACUAAGAUACGGCCCAGACGCCUACGGGAGGCAGCAGGGGGGAAUAUUGCACAGUGGGCGGAAGCCUGAUGCAGCAACGCCGCGGGCGGGAUGACGGCCUUCGGGUUGUAAACCGCUUUCGCCUGUGACGAAGCGUGAGUGACGGUAAUGGGUAAAGAAGCACCGGCUAACUACGUG
This 468-nucleotide ribosomal RNA is filed under the name uncultured bacterium. RNAcentral describes it as "partial 16S ribosomal RNA". It matches the Rfam family "Bacterial small subunit ribosomal RNA", at positions 28 to 507 of the family's 1533-position model. The record is from RNAcentral.